This 253-nucleotide ribosomal RNA is filed under the name uncultured bacterium. RNAcentral describes it as "partial 16S ribosomal RNA". It matches the Rfam family "Bacterial small subunit ribosomal RNA", at positions 524 to 776 of the family's 1533-position model. The record is from RNAcentral.
UACAGGGGGGGCAAGCGUUGUUCGGAAUUACUGGGCGUAAAGGGCUUGUAGGUGGCCGACUAAGUCCGACGUGAAAUCCCCAGGCUUAACCUGGGAACUGCGUCGGAUACUGGUUGGCUUGAAUCCGGGAGAGGGAUGCGGAAUUCCAGGUGUAGCGGUGAAAUGCGCAGAUAUCAGGAGGAACACCGGUGGCGAAGGCGGGUCUCUGGGCCGAUACUGACGCUGAGGAGCGAAAGCGUGGGGAGCGAACAGG